Molecule: ribosomal RNA, 247 nt
Filed under: uncultured bacterium
Lineage: Bacteria
Description: partial 16S ribosomal RNA
Rfam family: Bacterial small subunit ribosomal RNA
Source: RNAcentral
AUACGUAGGUGGCAAGCGUUGUCCGGAUUUACUGGGCGUAAAGAGUAUGUAGGCGGACAUUUAAGUCAGAUGUGAAAUUCCCGGGCUCAACCUGGGAACUGCCUUUGUGACUGCAAGGCUAGAGUACGGCAGAGGGGGAUGGAAUUCCUAGUGUAGCGGUGAAAUGCGUAGAGAUUAGGAAGAACACCGGUGGCGAAGGCGACUUUCUGGACUGUAACUGACGCUGAGGCUCGAAAGCGUGGGGAGC